CGAGUGAAGCGGCAACAGCUCAAAUUUGAAAUCUGGCUCCUUCAGAGUCCGAGUUGUAAUUUGUAGAAGAUGCUUUGGGUAAGGUAGCAAUCUAAGUUCCUUGGAACAGGAUGUCGUAGAGGGUGAGAAUCCCGUAUGCGAUUGCCUGCCUUUGCCUGUGUAAAGCUCUUUCGACGAGUCGAGUUGUUUGGGAAUGCAGCUCAAAAUAGGUGGUAUAUUUCAUCUAAAGCUAAAUAUUGGCCAGAGACCGAUAGCGCACAAGUAGAGUGAUCGAAAGAUGAAAAGCACUUUGGAAAGAGAGUUAAACAGUACGUGAAAUUGUUAAAAGGGAAGCGCUUGCAACCAGACUCUUACGUGGUUGAUCAUCAGGGGUUCUCCCCUGUGCACUCGAUCGCGUAUGGGCUAGCAUCAGUUUUGGUGGUUGGAUAAAGGCUUGGGGAAUGUAGCUCCUCUCGGGGAGUGUUAUAGCCCCAGGUGCCAUGCAACCUACCGAGACUGAGGACCGCGCUUCGGCUAGGAUGCUGGCAUAAUGGUUGUAAGCGACCCGUCUUGAAACACGGACCAAGGAGUCUAAUAUCUAUGCGAGUAUUUGGGUGCUAAACCCAUAUGCGCAAUGAAAGUAAACGGAGGUGAGAACCCUUUAGGGCGCAUCAUCGACCGAUCCUGAUGUCUUCGGAUGGAUUUGAGUAAGAGCAUAGCUAUUGGGACCCGAAAGAGAGUGAACUUUACGUGAAUAGGGUGAAGUCAGAGGAAACUCUGAUGGAGGCUCGCAGCGGUUCUGACGUGCAAAUCGAUCGU
This 798-nucleotide ribosomal RNA is filed under the name Unguiculariopsis sp. FY-2023a. RNAcentral's name for it is "partial large subunit ribosomal RNA". It matches the Rfam family "Eukaryotic large subunit ribosomal RNA", at positions 90 to 905 of the family's 3401-position model. The record is from RNAcentral. Lineage: Eukaryota; Fungi; Ascomycota; Leotiomycetes; Helotiales; Cordieritidaceae.